This 72-nucleotide transfer RNA is filed under the name Marmota marmota marmota (Alpine marmot). It matches the Rfam family "tRNA". Rfam says of the family: Transfer RNA (tRNA) molecules are approximately 80 nucleotides in length. Their secondary structure includes four short double-helical elements and three loops (D, anti-codon, and T loops). Further hydrogen bonds mediate the characteristic L-shaped molecular structure. tRNAs have two regions of fundamental functional importance: the anti-codon, which is responsible for specific mRNA codon recognition, and the 3' end, to which the tRNAs corresponding amino acid is attached (by aminoacyl-tRNA synthetases). tRNAs cope with the degeneracy of the genetic code in two manners: having more than one tRNA (with a specific anti-codon) for a particular amino acid; and 'wobble' base-pairing, i.e. permitting non-standard base-pairing at the 3rd anti-codon position. Lineage: Eukaryota; Metazoa; Chordata; Mammalia; Rodentia; Sciuridae. The record is from Rfam by way of RNAcentral. RNAcentral also lists the same sequence under 3 other names.
GGGGGUGUAGCUCAGUGAUAGAGCACUUGCCUAGCAUGCACAGGGCCCUGGAUUUGAUAUCCUGCUCUACCA